Molecule: ribosomal RNA, 449 nt
Filed under: uncultured bacterium
Lineage: Bacteria
Description: bacterial SSU rRNA
Rfam family: Bacterial small subunit ribosomal RNA
Source: RNAcentral
GUGGGGAAUAUUGGACAAUGGGCGAAAGCCUGAUCCAGCCAUGCCGCGUGUGUGAAGAAGGUCUUCGGAUUGUAAAGCACUUUAAGUUGGGAGGAAGGGCAGUAAGUUAAUACCUUGCUGUUUUGACGUUACCAACAGAAUAAGCACCGGCUAACUUCGUGCCAGCAGCCGCGGUAAUACGAAGGGUGCAAGCGUUAAUCGGAAUUACUGGGCGUAAAGCGCGCGUAGGUGGUUCAGCAAGUUGGAGGUGAAAUCCCCGGGCUCAACCUGGGAACUGCCUCCAAAACUACUGAGCUAGAGUACGGUAGAGGGUAGUGGAAUUUCCUGUGUAGCGGUGAAAUGCGUAGAUAUAGGAAGGAACACCAGUGGCGAAGGCGACUACCUGGACUGAUACUGACACUGAGGUGCGAAAGCGUGGGGAGCAAACAGGAUUAGAAACCCUAGAGUCC